ACCUGAUCCCAUUCCGAACUCAGAAGUCAAGCUCUUCAUCGCCGAUGGUACUACACUCAAGAGUGUGGGAGAGUAGGACGCCGCCAGGU
RNAcentral lists this ribosomal RNA (89 nucleotides) under Chlamydiia bacterium. Lineage: Bacteria; Pseudomonadati; Chlamydiota; Chlamydiia. The record is from RNAcentral.